This 254-nucleotide ribosomal RNA is filed under the name uncultured bacterium. RNAcentral's name for it is "partial 16S ribosomal RNA". It matches the Rfam family "Bacterial small subunit ribosomal RNA", at positions 524 to 776 of the family's 1533-position model. The record is from RNAcentral.
UACGUAGGGUGCGAGCGUUGUCCGGAAUUAUUGGGCGUAAAGAGCUCGUAGGCGGUUUGUUGCGUCUAUCGUGAAAACCUGCAGUUUAACUGUGGGCUUGCGGUCGAUACGGGCAUCACUGGAGUUCGGCAGGGGAGACUGGAAUUCCUGGUGUAGCGGUGAAAUGCGCAGAUAUCAGGAGGAACACCGGUGGCGAAGGCGGGUCUCUGGGCCGAUACUGACGCUGAGGAGCGAAAGCCAGGGGAGCAAACGGG